This 24-nucleotide non-coding RNA is filed under the name Rattus norvegicus (Norway rat). The record is from RNAcentral. Lineage: Eukaryota; Metazoa; Chordata; Mammalia; Rodentia; Muridae.
UAGUAAACUGCAUCCUUCUCCGGG